UACGGAGGGUGCAAGCGUUGUUCGGAAUCAUUGGGCGUAAAGCGCGUGUAGGCGGCUUGGCAAGUCGGUUGUGAAAACUCGGGGCUUAACCCCGGGCCUGCAGUGGGUACGGGCAGACUAGAGUGCGGUAGGGGAGACUGGAAUUCCUGGUGUAGCGGUGAAAUGCGCAGAUAUCAGGAGGAACACCGGUGGCGAAGGCGGGUCUCUGGGCCGUAACUGACGCUGAGGAGCGAAAGCGUGGGGAGCGAACAGG
Molecule: ribosomal RNA, 253 nt
Filed under: uncultured bacterium
Lineage: Bacteria
Description: partial 16S ribosomal RNA
Rfam family: Bacterial small subunit ribosomal RNA
Source: RNAcentral